Molecule: long non-coding RNA, 809 nt
Organism: Talpa occidentalis (Iberian mole)
Lineage: Eukaryota; Metazoa; Chordata; Mammalia; Eulipotyphla; Talpidae
Exons: 4
Source: RefSeq, a predicted model, not a curated record
AGGCCCAGGGUCUGGCCGGGGCAGCCGCUGUGGGCCCCGCCGCCCUGGAGCCCGCGGAGGAGCUGGGGGCGAUGGGCCCAGCCCCUGAGGAUAAGAGAUCUGAGACCCUUGGGGCAGCUUGAGAGCCACAGAGGAAUGUCGGUGGGAGAAACAAUGAAAUAUCAGUAUGAAAACUGUGGUGCAGAGGCCCAAGAUGCUGGGAUUGAGGAGGAAAGAGAGAAAGUUAACAGAAAACAAGGCGGACCAGAAAAGGAUCCGGACCAGGAAGAGAGCAAGCCCGGAUUCCAGGAGUAGAAAAGGAUGGAGAAAGAAGAAAGAAUCUGUUCUUCACUUCAUCACCUGAAAAGUGACAUCCACUGACGUGAUAGUUCUCUAACCUUUUACAGAUGUAUUUAAUAGCAUGUGUUCACGUUUUAAGUUUGUUUUAGAUAAGUUGAAACAUAGGCAGAUUUUUAAAGGGUAAAUAACACUCAAACCUGUUUUACCUUCUUGUAUUGGCCAACUUUACCAUUUGUUAAAGCAUCACUUUCCACCACUUGGGAAGCUUACAUUCCUUUAUCACAGCCCAAGUGUUCAGUGUCAAAUGUAAAACAAUUUUUGUAAAGAGAGAAAUGGAGGCCAAGCCUUUAGAGCUACACUGUAUUUUGUUAGUCGCUAGCCACGUGUUGCUGCUACACGUUUGAAAUGUGGCUAAGUCUGGUUUGAGGUGUUCUGUGAAUGUAAAAAAUACUUUAAAAGAUAUUAAUAACUUAUUACAUAUUGAAAUGAUAGUGUAUUGGAAUAAAUGAAAUAAAGCAUUAAAAAUUACU